This 624-nucleotide ribosomal RNA is filed under the name uncultured bacterium. RNAcentral's name for it is "bacterial SSU rRNA". It matches the Rfam family "Bacterial small subunit ribosomal RNA", at positions 68 to 676 of the family's 1533-position model. The record is from RNAcentral.
GAGAAAGAAGUAUUUAUAUUUUGAUUAAAGUGGCGCACGNGGUGAGUAACACGUAAGCAAUCUACCCUUAGGUACGGAAUAACUUCGCGAAAGCGGAACUAAUACCAUAUAAUGCAGCGGCAUCGCAUGAUGAUGUUGUUAAAGUUGCUUCGGUAACGUCUAUGGAUGAGCUUGCGACUGAUUAGUUUGUUGGUGAGGUAACGGCUCACCAAGACUGCGAUCAGUAGCUGGUCUGAGGGGAUGAUCAGCCACACUGGAACUGAGACACGGUCCAGACUCCUACGGGAGGCAGCAGUGAGGAAUAUUGGGCAAUGGGCGAAAGCCUGACCCAGCAACGCCGCGUGGAGGAUGAAUGUCGUAAGAUUGUAAACUCCUGUUAGAUGGGAAGAAUAGCCGUAAUUCGUAAGGGUUACGGUCUGACUGUACCAUCAAAGAAAGCCCCGGCUAACUACGUGCCAGCAGCCGCGGUAAUACGUAGGGGGCAAGCGUUGUCCGGAUUUACUGGGUGUAAAGGGCGCGCAGGCGGAUUGAUAAGUCAGAGGUGAAAUCCUACAGCUUAACUGUAGAACUGCCUUUGAUACUGUUAAUCUUGAGUACGGAGCAGAGAGAUGGAAUUCCAGGUGU